Molecule: ribosomal RNA, 305 nt
Filed under: uncultured bacterium
Lineage: Bacteria
Description: bacterial SSU rRNA
Rfam family: Bacterial small subunit ribosomal RNA
Source: RNAcentral
GCCUACGGGACGCAGCAGUAGGGAAUCUUCCACAAUGGGCGAAAGCCUGAUGGGGCAACGCCGCGUGGGUGAAGAAGGUCUUCGGAUCGUAAAACCCUGUUGUUAGAGAAGAAAGUGCGUGAGAGUAACUGUUCACGUUUCGACGGUAUCUAUCCAGAAAGCCACGGCUAACUACGUGCCAGCAGCCGCGGUAAUACGUAGGUGGCAAGCGUUAUCCGGAUUUAUUGGGCGUAAAGGGAACGCAGGCGGUCUUUUAAGUCUGAUGUGAAAGCCUUCGGCUUAACCGGAGUAGGGCAUUGGAAACU